CUGAUUCAGGGGGAGAGUGUGUGUGUGCGUGCGUUCACGCGCGCGCCGCCGCGCCGCCCCAACCAAUCUUUUGUGCACGGUUUCACGGUCAACGAGAGACGCCGCGCGUGUGUUGGCAAGUCAAGUGUCCCCGUCCCCCCUCCCCCCAGUGUGGGGGUGGUGUGGGGUGGGUGAGUGACUUCUUGCCAACCGCAUGCGUCUGUGCGCGUUCUCUACGCUUACACAAUCUCUUGUGCAAUCUCUGUCUAACGCGUACCUAAAUAUUAUUAACACAUA
RNAcentral lists this unclassified non-coding RNA (276 nucleotides) under soil metagenome. RNAcentral describes it as "partial internal transcribed spacer 1". The record is from RNAcentral.